This 741-nucleotide long non-coding RNA is filed under the name Mytilus galloprovincialis (Mediterranean mussel). The record is from RNAcentral. Lineage: Eukaryota; Metazoa; Mollusca; Bivalvia; Mytilida; Mytilidae.
AACAGAAUAUCAUAAGAACAAACUCUAACAAUCAGUUGAAAAGGGCUCACUCAUCAGAUUGAUACAAAGCAAAUAAAAAACCUCGAACAAAAACGCAGACCGGACGUGGGAGGAUUUAUACAUCCCUUACAACAAAAAGACAUAAAGUACACAUCUGAGUGUAAUCGCAGUUACUGGCAGCUAGUUCAAAACCAAUCACAACUAAUUAAAAAAAAAAAUCAUGUAUCUAAGAUUAAAACAAUCAAUCAGUACACAUCUAAAAUCCAAUAAAUUUAGUGUAAAAGAGGGACGAAAGAUACCAAAGGGACAGUCAAACUCAUAAAUCGAAAAUAAACUGACAAUGCCUUGGCUAAAAAUGAAAAAAAUAAACAGACAAACAACAGUAUACAUGACACAACGUAGAAAACUAAAGAAUGAGCAACCUGAACCCAACCAAAAACUAGGGGUGAUCUCAGGUGCUCCGGAAGGGUAAGCAGAUCCUGCUCCACAUGUGGCACCCGUCGUGUUGCUUAUAAACAAACUCAUCAUAGAUACCACACUGAAAAUCUAAAUUAGUCAAUUUGACCAAUUUAAUUAGUCAUUUUGACUGUCCUCUAGAUGACAAUGCACUUUAAUCAUUUUGACUAUGCUCUUAGUCGUUUGACUAGAUGGUUAGUCACAUUUGACUGAGUAGGGUGGUCAUUAUGACAAUGUUAGGAAGUCAAAAUGACUAUAUGUCAUACUCGUUAUGACGAAUUGGAU